GUGAUCUGUGAUAAAAAAUGCUAAUAUUUUUUUUUUUUAUACUGAAGUUUCUAUUACUGGGUUCUUCGUGUUCAAGAUAUUUUAUGGAUUCUCUUUACUUCAGCAUUGGGGAUUUCUAAUCAUAUUUUUUAGCUUUGAUUCAUUUUUAGAUUACUUCCCGACCUAAAUUCAUGAUCUUGGAUAUUUUAUUUGGGAUUUUAUAUGGUUUGAAGUUUGAUCUUUUUGGUAUAUUCUCAAAUAAUUUUGGGGAAAAUUUCAAAUUAACAAAAUUGAUACAUUUUCAAUCAAUGUACAUUACUGUUGUAUUAGCUUUCCGCCGCAACGCGCGAGUCCCUUAACUAGUAUGCAUUAUUUGGUAGCCUAACAUAGCAUUUCACCUUAUGCAUUUAUGUGUUCUACCACUAGCUAUCAUUACAUGCAUCAAUAGUAAGCACUAGUCUUAGACAUACAGGCGACCUAGUCGCUUCGGUAAACACAACUCACCUCAAUUCGCACUUCGAUUGCUCGUAGUCACUUGCAAUCGGCCUCCCGCGGCACCCGUGACCCGGUUCGGCCCGAACUCUCGCGCGACCACCCGAACGGCCUCCAAUCCACGAUCCGGAAAUUAAAGGUCUACGGUUAGUUGCCACGAGCCCACGAUUCCGUUUUCAUGAUUUUAGGACGUCGCCUCGGCCCUCCAGGCGGAAACGAAGCCGAAACGUCCGUUUCUUCAAUAUCUUCGCACCGGCUCGACGAAUCGCCGAACCGACUUCGCCAACGCAUUCGUAUACCUAGCAAUUAGGUUUAUAUAGGUUCAAUUUAGAUCAAACCCAUCUACUAGCAAAAAUGCCAUUUUUGAGCCCUAGCAAGUUACAUAGUAAGAAGUCACCAUAUAUCUAGCCUCAUGAUUCAAGCAUUAGUCCUCUAUCUAGCAUCUAGGAGUUCCAAUAAAUCUAUUUUUAGAGCAUAUAAAUAAAGCCCUAAAGAUCUACCAUGGAUGCUCCAAGAAGCUUACCUCAAAGCUUGCUCCAAGCCAAGGAGAAUAUAAAGAAGAUGAAGAUGAUUCACUUCCAAGCUUCAAUCUCCACCAAAUCCUUCAAUUUUGGAAGAGAUCUAGAGAGAGAAAGGGAGGUUUCUCUCUCCCUCCAUAUAUGCGUGUGUGUGUUAGUGUUGUGGGUGCACG
This 1162-nucleotide long non-coding RNA is filed under the name Ananas comosus (pineapple). Its description in RNAcentral is "long non-coding RNA (ACOM_LNC020237)". The record is from RNAcentral. Lineage: Eukaryota; Viridiplantae; Streptophyta; Magnoliopsida; Poales; Bromeliaceae.